CUGGGUGGGGCAGAUGGUUAAUGCACUCGGCUGCUAACUGAGAGGUUGGAGGUUUGAGUCCACCCAGA
RNAcentral lists this transfer RNA (68 nucleotides) under Loxodonta africana (African savanna elephant). It matches the Rfam family "tRNA". From Rfam's summary of the family: Transfer RNA (tRNA) molecules are approximately 80 nucleotides in length. Lineage: Eukaryota; Metazoa; Chordata; Mammalia; Proboscidea; Elephantidae. The record is from Rfam by way of RNAcentral.